Clupea harengus (Atlantic herring) is the source of this 333-nucleotide long non-coding RNA. NCBI's taxonomy places the organism in Eukaryota, Metazoa, Chordata, Actinopteri, Clupeiformes, Clupeidae. The record is from Ensembl.
AUUUAUUCAUUGUUAUCUAUUAUUAUUUAGCUGUGGCAGUUAAUGUCCACAGCAACUUACAUUUUUAGCUGUCUGUUACUGCCUCUACUGUCUCGUUGUUUUUGUGACAAUGACAAAUAAAGUACUUUGAACUUUGAACUUUGAGACAGGUGAGAAUAGGCAGUGCCCUAUAGAUAUGAGUCAGGUGUGGAUUAGACAGGUAGUGCCCUAUAGAUAUGAGUCAGGUGUGGAUUAGACAGGUAGUGCCCUAUAGAUAUGAGUCAGGUGUCAUAGUCUGGAUUAGACAGGUAGUGCCCUAUAGAUAUGAGUCAGGUGUGGAUUAGACAGGUAAGA